UUAAAUGCUGCCGUGAAAUUUACCCAAUCAACAAAACUGACUGUUCAUCGCCUUGUCACUUCAUCUGCCUUUCUUCUUCAAGACGUUUCCAUACUCCUGAGGCAUUAAUCAUCAACGUUCUUUGUACAGCCCUCUUCUCAAUUAACCCCAUCCCAUCUUCUCUCUUCCUAAUCAAUCCUAAUCUCCCACUCUAUCCCUUUCCUCUUGAUCUACUGCAUAUUCCGGAACUCCCCCAACAAGGUACACUGGUACUUUAGCCUUCAUCGUUUCUUUUGCUACCAUAUGCGCAAGAACGUUAACUGCUCUUGGGACAUACUCGAAUCUGCACUCCUUGACUUCAGAUAGCAUUUUAUGAAUAUCCGUAAUGUAUGCACAAACCCUUGAUUUAUCUUGGAUAUCUGACUUACUUUUUUUUAUUAUCGAUAAUGAAUCUCCUUCUAUAAUGAUUUUUUCCCAUUUCAUAUGAAUACCGAUUUUGGUUGCUUCCCGGCAUGCGAGCGCCUCGGCCGCGAAGACUGAUGUCACCUGUUGAUAGAUCUCCGAACAUGAUAGAAGAGUUUUGCCUUCACUAUCCCUGGCCACAAACCCCACAGUCGCUUGAUUACACUUCCCAUCGUAGGCAGCAUAAACCUCUCAAAGUUAGGUGUCCUAAAUAAAAAAUUUUGAAAAAAUAAGUGAUAAAAGUGUUAUUUAAAAUUCAAAAAUUAUUAAUAUGUUAACUCAUAAUUAUUUUCA
RNAcentral lists this long non-coding RNA (735 nucleotides) under Gossypium raimondii (Peruvian cotton). RNAcentral's name for it is "long non-coding RNA (GRAI_LNC009528)". The record is from RNAcentral. Lineage: Eukaryota; Viridiplantae; Streptophyta; Magnoliopsida; Malvales; Malvaceae.